Ornithodoros turicata is the source of this 377-nucleotide long non-coding RNA. RefSeq lists it as uncharacterized. Lineage: Eukaryota; Metazoa; Arthropoda; Arachnida; Ixodida; Argasidae. The record is from RefSeq and is a predicted model, not a curated record. The transcript is spliced from 3 exons.
AGCCAAGAUACUAAAAGUGGGUCAAAUGCGCUGCCAGGAAGCGCUGAGAAUGCAGCUUUCCAGAAAAGGGUGCUGACAUUGCUACAUUCCAUCAGAUAUGAGGUUCAAGAUAUUUCAAGCCAACUAAGUCACAGUCUAUCAAAGUUGAGCAUCCACAAAGAUGUGGACGAGCACGAGAAGCUUUUUGAGGAGCCUAUAAAUAACCUGGACGACUUUGUGGAGUUCGACAACCAGCUGCGAAAUAACAAACAGAAGCAGACCGAAGUGCGUACAUUCCUGGCAAUGUUUGGAGGCCGUGGCACUGCAGACCACGUGGCACGAAUCCUGUCUCGUGUUAUCACGAAUGACCUUGCCACAGAAUUCAGCUGGUUUGGCGC